RNAcentral lists this ribosomal RNA (407 nucleotides) under uncultured bacterium. Its description in RNAcentral is "partial 16S ribosomal RNA". It matches the Rfam family "Bacterial small subunit ribosomal RNA", at positions 30 to 526 of the family's 1533-position model. The record is from RNAcentral.
AUUGAACGCUAGCGGGAUGCCUUACACAUGCAAGUCGAACGGAGCGGCGAACGGGUGAGUAAUGUAUCGGAACGUGCCCAGUAGCGGGGGAUAACCACGCGAAAGCGUAGCUAAUACCGCAUACUAUUGGAGCGGCCGAUAUCGGACUAGCUAGUUGGUGGGGUAACGGCUCACCAAGGCGACGAUCCGUAGCUGGUUUGAGAGGACGACCAGCCACACUGGAACUGAGCAGCAGCCCAGACUCCUACGGGGGGCAGCAGUGGGGAAUGUUGGACAAUGGGGGAAACCCUGAUCCAGCCAUCCCGCGUGUGCGAUGAGGGCCUUCGGGUUGUAAAGCACUUUUGGCAGGGAGGCGGUACCUGCAGAAUAAGCACCGGCUAACUACGUGCCAGCAGCCGCGGUAAUUC